Acanthosepion pharaonis is the source of this 98-nucleotide non-coding RNA. The record is from the annotation of a GenBank genome assembly. NCBI's taxonomy places the organism in Eukaryota, Metazoa, Mollusca, Cephalopoda, Sepiida, Sepiidae.
UUGAAACACUGGUUCCCGUACGAUCACCAAAUUUAAGCAAUGUCAAGCUUGGUCAGCAUUUAGAUGGGUGACCGUUUAGAAAUACCAGGUGCUGUAAG